RNAcentral lists this long non-coding RNA (286 nucleotides) under Mytilus galloprovincialis (Mediterranean mussel). The record is from RNAcentral. Lineage: Eukaryota; Metazoa; Mollusca; Bivalvia; Mytilida; Mytilidae.
AUACAACUAGAGGCUCUAAAGAGCCUGUGUCGCUCACCUUGGUCUAUGUGCAUAUUAAACAAAGGACACAAAUGGAUUCAUGACAAAAUUGUAUUUUGGUGAUGGUGAUGUGUUUGAAGUUCUUACUUUACUGGACGAUUUUGCUUCUUACAAUUAUAUCUAUAAUGAACUUUGCCCAUUAGUAACAGAGAACUAUAUUUGGUAAAAAUUUAAAUUACAUAUAUUUACCAAAUUAAUGAAAAUUGUUAAAAAUUGACUAUAAAGGGCAAUAACUCCUUAAGGGGUC